This 433-nucleotide ribosomal RNA is filed under the name uncultured bacterium. Its description in RNAcentral is "partial 16S ribosomal RNA". It matches the Rfam family "Bacterial small subunit ribosomal RNA", at positions 28 to 507 of the family's 1533-position model. The record is from RNAcentral.
AGCGAACGCUGGCGGCAGGCUUAACACAUGCAAGUCGAGCGGGCCCUUCGGGGUCAGCGGCGGACGGGUGAGUAACGCGUGGGAACGUGCCUUCUGGUCUGGAAUAACCCUGGGAAACUCGGGCUAAUACCGGAUACGCCCUUUUGGGGAAAGGUUUACUGCCGGAUGAUCGGCCCGCGUCUGAUUAGCUAGUUGGUGGGGUAACGGCCUACCAAGGCGACGCUCAGUAGCUGGUCUGAGAGGAGGAUCAGCCACACUGGGACUGAGACACGGCCCAGACUCCUACGGGAGGUAGAAGUGGGGAAUAUUGGACAAGGGGCGCAAGCCUGAGCAAGCCAGGCCGCGGGAGUGAUGAAGGCCUUAGGGUUGUAAAGCUCGUUUAUCCGGGACGAUAAUGACGGUACCGGAGGAAUAAGCCCCGGCUAACUUCGUG